UACAGAGGGUGCAAGCGUUUAAUCGGAUUUACUGGGCGUAAAGCGUGCGUAGGCGGUUCAUUAAGUCGGUUGUGAAAUCCCUGGGCUUAACUUGGGAAUUGCAUUCGAUACUGGUUAGCUAGAGUGUGGGAGAGGAUGGUAGAAUUCCAGGUGUAGCGGUGAAAUGCGUAGAGAUCUGGAGGAAUACCGAUGGCGAAGGCAGCCAUCUGGCCUAACACUGACGCUGAGGUGCGAAAGCAUGGGGGAGCAAACAGG
RNAcentral lists this ribosomal RNA (255 nucleotides) under uncultured bacterium. Its description in RNAcentral is "partial 16S ribosomal RNA". It matches the Rfam family "Bacterial small subunit ribosomal RNA", at positions 524 to 776 of the family's 1533-position model. The record is from RNAcentral.